CUCAGCCUCUGGUGAAACUGGACUUUCAAGUCUGUGCAGGUGAAGGUGUGUGAGAGCGCCCGAGAUGGCAGAACAAGAGCUACAGACUGAGUGUCCCUUUGCCUGGCUGUGAGAUGAAAAUCCUUGAUUUCCUCAAUUUUUUGAGACAUGGCAACAAGGAGCACAGGGAGAGGUCGCGGACUGGCAACCCAAGAGGUGAAAGGGCAGGCUGCCAGAUCCUUCGAUGUCCUGCCGUUCUUCCCAGCUCUUACUCAGACAUUUAAUCAGAAGUCCUCUCAGGAAUACCCGAGUGGGACACUGGAAAGAAAUUAAGCCAGCUCCAAGCAAAUGACAGGUGCUUCCCAUUCCUCUGUGUGCUCUCGAAGCUCUGAAGCCUGCGCCGCACAGCACGGCAGUCCUGGCGGCAGUGAGACAAGGACACUGAGGCACAGGGAAGUUCAAGAACGUACCUGAGAUCAUACCGUUGUAAACAUGUCAGAACAGCAGCUAUGUGGAACAAGUGAAGACUGGUUGCUAUCCAAUCUGCCAAUUUUCAGAUAAAAGAGCGGGAUCUGAUAAGUGACAGAUUACCAUGAGAACGUUUGCAGUGGGAUCUUUUCAGGUUUACCAUUUCGGCACCAAAUAUUAAGUUGAUCCCAACUGCUCGUGACACUUAGCUUGGUCUGACCUUGGACUGUGCAGAGUUAUAUAAAGACCACAAAUGUUGAAGAUGUCAUUUCUAAAUCCUCUCCUGAAGGAACUAGGUUUCAGAAUGAGGUAUACUUAAAAUCAAAACAAUAUUUAUAAAAACCACUCCAGAAUUUUCUUUAUUAAAAAAGGAAGGUGGUUUUUAAAACCAAGGUAAAUAAAUGCAGUAAAUAUAAGCACUAUUUCCUAGUUUUCUUAUCUAAAGAGUCAAAGCAAUAAGAUACAGCUUUAAUUGGUGCCAUGAAUCCUUGAUUGGCUGGAAUUCUUUGGGAAUAGCAUGCUUUGGUUAAGUAGAUUUUCUCUACUUUGUAGAAAAUUUUUCUAGAAGAUAGUUUUAUCCUUUUCUACCCUUUUAUUUCCUUGCUCCCUCCUAUUUCCUCUCCUUUACUUCUUAAAAAUGAGGAUAAGGGAUAUAAGUCAAUAUUUCAGCUCCUCUGGAUAAUCAGUCUGAGCACUGAAUGGGCUGGGCCGCAGUGGUGCACUGGCUGUGCUCUGAGUGACACAGGAAGGCGCAGGGGCAUUCGCAGCAAAGAGUGGCAGGCUCUGACCCGAGCGCACCAGGGCCCCUGACUGCCAUGUUGAGAAUGGGCUGCAGAAGGGCAAGCAGGGGGCUGGGCCAGCAGCUCCGCACACGCCCCAGUGGCAGGUGAGGGUGACUUGGGUGCAGGGUCAGUAGUAAAUCCAUGGAAUGAGGGGUCAGAGUCGGGAUGUAUUUUGGAGGCAGAACCAAGUGAUUUCUGACAAACUGAAAGUGAGUGUGAUAAGAGAGGAGUCCAGAAUGACCUCUAGGUUUUCUCCUGAGCUGCUGGAAGGAUGGAGUUUCCACUUGACUGAGAUGAAGCCUGGAGCCGGAACAGGCUGGAGGCCGAGGGAGGAGAAAGGGAAAGUUGGGCAUGAAGAGUUUGUUUGGAGACAAGUUAAGCGGUGAUGACAAGCUGGGCAUAUGAGACGGGGGUUUAGGGGAGAGGUCCAGGCUAGAGAUGCAAAUUUGAGAGAUACCAGUAUAAAGUUGCGAUUAGUACCAGGAAAUGAGCAUAACACAGAGGGCGCGGCAGGACAAGCACCCUAGGACAGCGUGCUGUCCAUGUCUCCACACAGAAGAGGAGGAGCGCUACCAAGGAGACUGCUAUCACAGACCCAGGACGCUUGGACACACCUGUUGGUUUGCAUUUUUGUCUCUUAUUAGUAAAGUCCGGUGCCAAUCGCAGUGCUUGGCAGAGACCUUCAAUAAAUGUUUGUGGGAAGGAAGACAGGAAGAAAAAGAGGGAGGCAGGGAGGGAGGGAGGACCGUGAGUUCUAGGUGUGUCCUGCAGGUAGGCUGCUAAGGCUGCCUGGGAAAUGCUGCUGCACCGAGGUGUCAGGGACCUUGAGGCUGGGAUGCUGAAUGGGUUGCUACAGAGCUGUUUAUGGUCGUCCCUGAGAUGAUGGCAGGAUUUAGGGUGAAAGGAAAAGUGUGAGCCAGAAGACAAGGGCCUCAGUGACUGCAGGGAAUUGAGGGGACAGCCCACAGUUGACAGCAGUGAAUCCCAGACAGCACUUUGCACAAAUGGCUCGGUCUCAAAGGAGGAAGGGUUUUUGCAGGAGAAUGCUGAGUAGGGAUCUGAGGCAGCACCUGGGGGAGGCAGCAGAACCACCUUCCCUUAAAAGGACUACAGAUAAGGUGGCCCCUGGGGGAGAGCAUUGUUUUAGUUAAGGAAGAAAAAAAAAGUUUCCUGAAAACAAAGUGGAGGAUGCAGAAGAGUUUGAUCCCAAUAAAUAAAGGUUCCAGAGGGCACAGGAACAUACCUUUGGAGGAAGGCCAGUAGUGAAAAGCAGAAUGAGGAAGAAGAAAGCAUGGCACAUUCUAGGUGCAAGAAGCUGCAGGGUCCAGCAUUUUGACCAAGGCCAAGGUUGGCAGAGGGGAAGGCAUGAUGGAAACAUCCAUCUUCCAGAUUCUGGCCCGCAGAGACCAAGCAUUCGGCUGGUGCUGGCGGCCUGAUAAAGUUAGCAGAAUGCUGUCAUUCCUCAGCCUUCAUAUAGAACAUUCUUGGGAAAAUGUCCUGGUGUCUCCCUAAAGAACUCUAGUUCAGGUGUUAAGGACAGGGUCAGUGGGCCUCUGGUUGAAGCACAGCAGGCCGCAGGGGCCAUCAGGCCUAAGGGUUCAUGGAGUAAAAUGAGAGGUGCUUUCAGGUGUCCCUCCUGAGAGAAUGCUCCCCCCAGAAGAGUGGAGGGGACAAGCUGGGCUUCUAGCCUAUGCUGACCUUCUCAUCUAGGUGGAACCCUGGCGGCUCACCUGGUAAACAGGACCAAAGACACCCUGAGCCAGGCUGUGGAUGGCUUGGACAGGAAGAUUCUGUUAUAGCCCUUUCCAUCUGAUUAUCCUCCUUUCUACUCUUCCCAUGGUUGUCCUAUCCUCUUCCUGCUGAAACUGUUCACGUGCCAGGCACAGUGGCAAGUGCUACUUGGGAGGCCAAGGCAGGAGGACAGCUUGAGUCCAGGAGUUCAAAUCCAGCCUGGGCAACAUAGCAAGAUCCCCGUCUGUAAUAAUUAGAAAAAAAAAAUUGUUUACAUGAAAAUGAACCUAUUUGUCUUCUUCCUGCUAGAACAUGAAAUCCUCAAGGACAGAGAAGUGUCUUAGCCAUGUUUGUAUCUUCUGCAACUAGAACCUUGCCUUUAUUCAGUCAUCCAAGCAUCUGAAGAUUGGGGAAAUAGGAUGAAAAUGGGUAAGGAUUCAGAAAGUCUCUCCCUGAGGACUUGGCAGCCACGAAUGUCUCUGCAAGUGUCCAAGCUGUUCCCUUUCUCUGGGCCAACUUGAUGUAUGGCAGACACCAAUAGCAAGCAGCAUGCAGUAGCUAAGCAAGGCUGGGAAGUCCUGUUCUACACCUCCCUGGUCCAUAUUUAACUCAAACAAAUAAAUGCUUAGGUUCUUUU
Molecule: non-coding RNA, 3597 nt
Organism: Microcebus murinus (gray mouse lemur)
Lineage: Eukaryota; Metazoa; Chordata; Mammalia; Primates; Cheirogaleidae
Source: RefSeq, a predicted model, not a curated record